This 73-nucleotide transfer RNA is filed under the name Lysobacter antibioticus. It matches the Rfam family "tRNA". Rfam says of the family: Transfer RNA (tRNA) molecules are approximately 80 nucleotides in length. Lineage: Bacteria; Pseudomonadati; Pseudomonadota; Gammaproteobacteria; Lysobacterales; Lysobacteraceae. The record is from Rfam by way of RNAcentral.
UUGGAUAUAGCUCAGUCGGGUAGAGCAACAGCUUCGAUGCUGUCGGUCGCGGGUUCGACUCCCGCUAUCCCUA